GGAUGAAGAAUGUUUCCAUUGUGUUCCUCAGGAAGGUUAAAUAUAUUGUAUUAAUGUUGGUUAGAAUGGAGAACAUCGCAACUGUUCAGAGUUAUUUAUACUUAGUAUUUUUUUCCAUUGAUUUUUUGAGUACAAAAUUGGGUAAGUCUCUUCCUUUGAUGCUGAUAGAGCCACAAAUUCAUUUUCUGAUCAGUGAAUUGAGACUGGAAAUAUGGUGUUACAUUUCUGAGCUGCGAAUUUCUUGUUGAUUCAAAGGUCAAAGAACAUCUUUGUUUCCCUCUGCACUGAAGCAUGCCUCUAAGAAUUGAGAUUGUGUCAACUUCAUUAGCUUGAAUUCUAGGGCAUCAUGAUGAAGAGCUCUUCUUCAAGAGUUACAGGAUCAGAAAGGGAAGAAAAGAACCUUUAUUCACUUUACUGGAGCACUGAAACUUUCAGUAUGUUUGUCAUUUUAACACAAUGUCCAUCUGAGUGACAAUGUCUCUUGUUUGCUUCAUAACUAUGUUGUACUGACAAAAAUCUUCUGCUAGUAGUAUAGAGUUUGUUAUCUUUUAUGUUUCUUUUGAGAAACAAUAGUUCUAGUUGCUCUAUUCCAAAAUGUUGAAAUGUCACAACAAGGUUACAAUGAAAAUUAGAGGAAGAAAGCAAAAGAGAAUAAAGGAGAGGGGGAAGGGAGCAAAGAGGAGGAAUAGCGAAGGAGGAGGAGGAGGAGAAGGAGGAAGAGAAGAAGGCAGAGAAAGUAGACAAGCAGAAGGAAGAAAAAGAAUAGCAGCAGCAGCCUAAUGAAACUUUAUCACAGAAAACAAUUUAACCUGAAUUGCAGAACUGUGUGAAUGUCAGAGAAAAAUAAGAUUUUAUUAAUAUUAUCACUAUUAUUAUUAUGAUCAUUAUUAUUAUUAGCCAGAAACAGCUUUAAAAUGGUUAAAGAAAUACAAGUACAUUUGAUUCUCAUAUUAAGGAUAAUAUGCAAUGUGAGUUCUUAAAAUCUUGUCAUACUCCAAAAGAAGAUUUAGCAGUGCUAAGCAUAAACAUCUGAAUAAUUCAUCGCCAGAUACAAACUAAUUCUCUUUUGAAAUGUAAAAUAUCCACAUUCAAAGUGAAGACUAUAGCUAUGGUUUCAAAUCUGUUUCUUCAAAAUAGUUGAAUAAAAUAUUGUGGUAAGUCAUCCUGCAAGCCACUACAUGCUCCUUGAAGGCCUGCCUUUCAUAAAGCUAUAUUGAGUGUUUCUCAAGAAAAUAUCAUUGUAAACUUUCAGGAAGGUAAACUUUUCAUUAUUAGGCUAAAAUUGUAGAACUUGCUUUAUUUAUAUUAUUUCCCAUUUCUGCACACUCUCAAGUGAAUAUGUGUAGAAUGGGCUUUUGUGACAAGCCUGAGGUAUGGGAAGAGGAUUUCAGGCAAAAAUGUCAAUCAGAGUUAUUUUUGAUUUACGUUGAAAUUUCUCUAAGUACCUAUGCACUACAUAGGAAACAUAAGUUCAGCCUUGUUGAAUGUUCAUUUGUGAAGAUUCAAACUCGAUUCUAUUUAAAUCCACAGUCUGAGCACAGAGCAGGCCAAACAUACUUCCUUAAACCAGUCUGUGGUGCAAAAGGGGUAGAAACCAUCAAAGCCAAGAGAUAAGCAUGUAUUGCUUAAAGGUUGAUGUCUGCUUUCCAAGAUAAGGUUUUUGUGAGUGUGGCCUUCUAGGGACCUAAGUAGAAAGCAACUCCACAGUUAAGUCCUGAUAUUUUUGAAGAACUUUACAAUCAGACCUUUACAAAAUGUGAGAGAGACAAAACUUUCCAUCUCCUGUACCAGUAACCACCCCUCUCCUGACAACUGUAACAGGUUUGCUAUUUUCAGUAUCUCUUUGCUAUUUUCAGUAUCCAGUUCAAAAAACAUUGAAGCAAAAUUAAUGUAUGAUACAUUACUGAUAGAGAAGGAGCAGAGAAAAUUUUCUGCCAGUCAUUCCUUUGUGGACGGUGAGGGUUAAUUUUCUUUUGACACUGUAUUUGUAGAAGUCCAUGAGACUUGUAAAAUAAAAACAGUUUGGAUAGUUAUUUUCUUUCUUAGAACACAAGAAAGGAAGCACCAGUACUUUGUAUUAUUUAUUUUAAUUAUUUAAAUUAAUAAGAUUUGAAAGCUGAAGGCCCCAAAAGAACCUUUGAUCUUCUAACCCAGCAACCAGCCCUUCAAUCCCAUGCUUAAGAGGUUAUGUAUAUUACACCUCCUUUAGGUAAUGCACACUAUGGGCAUAGGGCUAAAAUCCAUUAUGAUCAGAAUGGUGGAGCAAUGGAACAGCAGCUGGGUCCUCCAUGGUACUUUUGUAACUGUGAGCUUCAUCUAGAGAUCUGAGGCCCUCACAGUCUUUCACAGUGUAGCAUGAGGACAGUGGUGUCAGAUUCCAGCUGUGUAAGGCUGAUAUGCUGCUAAACUUGUCUCAACAAAACCCCUUUCUUAUAUGAAAUGAAAAUGAAACAACAAUCAAGGUCUUCAACAGUGCCAGGACUUAAGUGUGGAGUCACCUCCAACUUCUAGGCUGUGCCCCUACCAUCCUUCCUCGACCUACAAUUCUCCCAACCAUUCUCCCAAGGAAAGAGUCUGGAAAUGCUAAAAAAAAUUCAUAGGUAGCACAGGACUAAGGAAAGCAGUAUGGAAAGCUGUAGCUUUGUGUCAAAAUGGAAGGAGAUAAAGCAGAUGAGUUGAAAAACAAGCAAGCCCCAAGUAAGGAGUAGCAGCCCCUAUAGAGAAAGAAUCUGAUGACCAUACCUAAACUUGAUGCCACCAUUCUUAAUC
This 2769-nucleotide long non-coding RNA is filed under the name Mus musculus (house mouse). RNAcentral's name for it is "long non-coding RNA chr15:28855003-28857772". Lineage: Eukaryota; Metazoa; Chordata; Mammalia; Rodentia; Muridae. The record is from RNAcentral.